GGACUACAAGGGUAUCUAAUCCUGUUCGCUCCCCACGCUUUCGCUCCUCAGCGUCAAUAUCGGCCCAGAGACCCGCCUUCGCCACCGGUGUUCCUCCUGAUAUCUGCGCAUUUCACCGCUACACCAGGAAUUCCAGUCUCCCCUACCGAAUUCUAGCCUGCCCGUAUCGACUGCAGACCACAUGGUUGAGCCACGGGUUUUCACAGUCGACGCGACAAGCCGCCUACGAGCUCUUUACGCCCAAUAAAUCCGGACAACGCUCGCGCCCUACGUCUUACCGCGGCUGCUGGCAC
This 293-nucleotide ribosomal RNA is filed under the name uncultured bacterium. Its description in RNAcentral is "partial 16S ribosomal RNA". The record is from RNAcentral.